CCUACGGGGGGCAGCAGUCGAGAAUCAUUCACAAUGGGGGAAACCCUGAUGGUGCGACGCCGCGUGGGGGAAUGAAGGUCUUCGGAUUGUAAACCCCUGUCAUGUGGGAGCAAAUUAAAAAGAUAGUACCACAAGAGGAAGAGACGGCUAACUCUGUGCCAGCAGCCGCGGUAAUACAGAGGUCUCAAGCGUUGUUCGGAAUCACUGGGCGUAAAGCGUGCGUAGGCUGUUUCGUAAGUCGUGUGUGAAAGGCGCGGGCUCAACCCGCGGACGGCACAUGAUACUGCGAGACUAGAGUGAUGGAGGGGGAACCGGAAUGCUCGGUGUAGCAGUGAAAUGCGUAGAUAUCGAGAGGAACACUCGUGGCGAAGGCGGGUUCCUGGACAUUAACUGACGCUGAGGCACGAAGGCCAGGGGAGCGAAAGGGAUUAGAUACCCGAGUAGUC
RNAcentral lists this ribosomal RNA (446 nucleotides) under uncultured bacterium. RNAcentral describes it as "partial 16S ribosomal RNA". It matches the Rfam family "Bacterial small subunit ribosomal RNA", at positions 338 to 795 of the family's 1533-position model. The record is from RNAcentral.